GGGCGUAAAGAGUUGCGUAGGUGGCAUUGUAAGUUGAUAGUGAAAGCGUCCGGCUCAACCGGAUACACAUUAUCAAAACUGCAAAGCUAGAGGACAAGAGAGGUCACUGGAAUUCCUAGUGUAGGAGUGAAAUCCGUAGAUAUUAGGAGGAACACCGAUGGCGUAGGCAGGUGACUGGCUUGUUCCUGACACUAAGGCACGAAAGCGUGGGUAGCAAACGGGAUUAGAUACCCCGGUAGUCCACGCCGUAAACGAUGGAUGCUAGCUGUAUUCGGUAUCGACCCCGGAUGUAGCGAAGCUAACGCGUUAAGCAUCCCGCCUGUGGAGUACGGUCGCAAGACUAAAACAUAAAGGAAUUGACGGGGACCCGCACAAGCGGUGGAGCGUGUUGUUUAAUUCGAUGGUAAGCGAAGAACCUUACCCAGGCUUGACAUCCUUGGAAGCUUUUCGAAAGAAAAGUGUGCUUUUAGAGCCAAGUGACAGGUGAUGCAUGGCCGUCGUCAGCUCGUGUCGUGAGAUGUUUGGUUAAGUCCAUCAACGAGCGCAACCCUUGUGAGUAGUUGAAUUUUUCUACUCAGACUGCCCUGGCAACAGGGAGGAAGGAGGGGAUGAUGUCAGGUCAGUAUU
RNAcentral lists this ribosomal RNA (627 nucleotides) under uncultured bacterium. Its description in RNAcentral is "bacterial SSU rRNA". It matches the Rfam family "Bacterial small subunit ribosomal RNA", at positions 556 to 1197 of the family's 1533-position model. The record is from RNAcentral.